GGAAUAUUGGACAAUGGGCGAAAGCCUGAUCCAGCAAUGCCGCGUGAGUGAUGACGGCCCUCGGGUUGUAAAGCUCUUUUACCCGGGAUGAUAAUUACAGUACCGGGAGAAUAAGCUCCGGCUACCUCCGUGCCAGCAGCCGCGGUAAUACGGAGGGAGCUAGCGUUGUUCGGAAUUACUGGGCGUAAAGCGCGCGUAGGAGGUCUAUCAAGUCAGGGGUGAAAUCCCGGGGCUCAACCCCGGAACUGCCCUGGAAACUGGCAGACUAGAAUCUUGGAGAGGUCAGUGGAAUUCCGAGUGUAGAGGUGAAAUUCGUAGAUAUUCGGAAGAACACCAGUGGCGAAGGCGACUGACUGGACAAGCAUUGACGCUGAGGUGCGAAAGCGUGGGGAGCAAAC
RNAcentral lists this ribosomal RNA (398 nucleotides) under uncultured bacterium. Its description in RNAcentral is "bacterial SSU rRNA". It matches the Rfam family "Bacterial small subunit ribosomal RNA", at positions 358 to 773 of the family's 1533-position model. The record is from RNAcentral.